AUGACCAAGUCGAUGAUGCCACUGCUUGAAGGAACCAGUAACAGAAGCGACAGCAGCGGAGGAACUGGCGAUGGUGGUGGCAGCGGAAGGAACAUGAAGCCAGUCCAACUCCCAAAGACCCUGAGAAUCACGGCGGCGAGGGCCAGCCCCAACCAGAGUGUGCGUGCGACGAUCCUGGACAGAACAAGAGUCAACAUCAAAGAUGACACGACAACCAGAAUCAGUAAGUUGACCGGCAGAAAACAGAUUCAUGGUAAGUCGAGGAACAUGAGCAACAUCAGGAACAGAAUAAGGAGUAGAAAGAUGGCCUCUACUGGCAACAGAAAGUGGAGUACCAUCAGCAGUAAAGACAUGAACAGGAGAAUCCAGCGAGCGAAGAGAAGACAAAGCGGAAGAAUGAGAAGACAUAUGAAAAGAAGCUCCAGAAUCCAGAACCCAUGGGGAUGUACCUGA
RNAcentral lists this ribosomal RNA (453 nucleotides) under Triticum aestivum (bread wheat). RNAcentral's name for it is "partial small subunit ribosomal RNA". The record is from RNAcentral. Lineage: Eukaryota; Viridiplantae; Streptophyta; Magnoliopsida; Poales; Poaceae.